CGGCGGACGGGUGAGUAAUGUAUGGGGAUCUGCCUGAUGGCGGGGGAUAACUACUGGAAACGGUAGCUAAUACCGCAUAAUGUCUACGGACCAAAGCGGGGGACCUCCGGGCCUCGCGCCAUCAGAUGAACCCAUAUGGGAUUAGCUUGUAGGUAAGGUAACGGCUUACCUAGGCGACGAUCCCUAGCUGGUCUGAGGGGAUGAUCAGCCACACUGGGACUGAGACACGGCCCAG
RNAcentral lists this ribosomal RNA (235 nucleotides) under uncultured bacterium. RNAcentral describes it as "partial 16S ribosomal RNA". It matches the Rfam family "Bacterial small subunit ribosomal RNA", at positions 96 to 334 of the family's 1533-position model. The record is from RNAcentral.